UACGUAGGGUGCGAGCGUUAAUCGGAAUUACUGGGCGUAAAGCGUGCGCAGGCGGUUUUGUAAGACCGAUGUGAAAUCCCCGGGCUUAACCUGGGAACUGCAUUGGUGACUGCAAGGCUUGAGUAUGGCAGAGGGGGGUAGAAUUCCACGUGUAGCAGUGAAAUGCGUAGAGAUGUGGAGGAAUACCGAUGGCGAAGGCAGCCCCCUGGGUCAAUACUGACGCUCAUGCACGAAAGCGUGGGGAGCAAACAGG
RNAcentral lists this ribosomal RNA (253 nucleotides) under uncultured bacterium. RNAcentral's name for it is "partial 16S ribosomal RNA". It matches the Rfam family "Bacterial small subunit ribosomal RNA", at positions 524 to 776 of the family's 1533-position model. The record is from RNAcentral.